AUGAACGCUGGCGGCGUGCCUAAUACAUGCAAGUCGCGCGAACGGACUAGAAGCUUGCUUCUCUGAUGUUAGCGGCGGACGGGUGAGUAACACGUGGAUAACCUACCUAUAAGACUGGGAUAACUUCGGGAAACCGGAGCUAAUACCGGAUAAUAUUUUGAACCGCAUGGUUCAAAAGUGAAAGACGGUCUUGCUGUCACUUAUAGAUGGAUCCGCGCUGCAUUAGCUAGUUGGUAAGGUAACGGCUUACCAAGGCAACGAUGCAUAGCCGACCUGAGAGGGUGAUCGGCCACACUGGAACUGAGACACGGUCCAGACUCCUACGGGAGGCAGCAGUAGGGAAUCUUCCGCAAUGGGCGAAAGCCUGACGGAGCAACGCCGCGUGAGUGAUGAAGGUCUUCGGAUCGUAAAACUCUGUUAUUAGGGAAGAACAUAUGUGUAAGUAACUGUGCACAUCUUGACGGUACCUAAUCAGAAAGCCACGGCUAACUACGUG
This 496-nucleotide ribosomal RNA is filed under the name uncultured bacterium. RNAcentral's name for it is "partial 16S ribosomal RNA". It matches the Rfam family "Bacterial small subunit ribosomal RNA", at positions 29 to 507 of the family's 1533-position model. The record is from RNAcentral.